Molecule: long non-coding RNA, 338 nt
Organism: Vitis vinifera (wine grape)
Lineage: Eukaryota; Viridiplantae; Streptophyta; Magnoliopsida; Vitales; Vitaceae
Exons: 2
Source: RefSeq, a predicted model, not a curated record
AAAAGUUCUGAUUUUUAAAGGAAAAGCAGAGAUAGGGACAAAGAGGCACAGAGGAAAAAAUUCAAAGAGCGCUCGAAGAGAGAGAGAAAGAACCAGAAACAAAAGGAAAACAUAAAGGAAAAUAAAGGAGAAGACAUUUAAAGGACAGAGAAUGAGGGCUAGUCAUUUUAUCAGCUAUAGGAGGGGAUGCAACUUGCUUGAAGCUUGGUCAACAAGGUUUGGAGGAGUUGUUAUAGGGUCACAAGAAGGUUUUGUUGAAACUGUAGCAGAUAUGAGUCGAACACAACUUGGAGAACAUCAAGGUAUUAAUAGAAUUUUGGACACCUUGUGAUGAAUUA